GGGUGGCCCAGAUGUUCAACACGGGACACUUACUUUUAUGUGUAAACAGGUCUCAAACAAAGCUCGGACUAAUGCUUCAUAUUCUUCUUGGACUUCUUUUCUAAUCUGCUUCUUGAGAUUCAGAUUCACCUCUUCCAAGUCUAAAAGAAAAAUGGAAACGACCUAAAAUGCCUAACAAUGGAAACGAGUUGAAUCCAUCUGGCUCAUAGACAUGACGAAAUACUGAAUGGCCACCAUAAAUGGACAUAUGUUUAUUGAUGAGGAAAGAUCUUUAUAACAUAUUGUCAAGUGAACAAAAAAG
Molecule: long non-coding RNA, 301 nt
Filed under: Pan troglodytes (chimpanzee)
Lineage: Eukaryota; Metazoa; Chordata; Mammalia; Primates; Hominidae
Description: long non-coding RNA NONPTRT015281
Source: RNAcentral